Long non-coding RNA from Poecilia latipinna (sailfin molly), 2519 nucleotides. RefSeq lists it as uncharacterized. Lineage: Eukaryota; Metazoa; Chordata; Actinopteri; Cyprinodontiformes; Poeciliidae. The transcript has 2 exons. The record is from RefSeq and is a predicted model, not a curated record.
UGCUAAUACCAUGACUAUAUUCUCGUAAAUAAACAAAAAUUCUCAUAGCCUGGCCCUGACACUCUGUUGUACAACUCACAGAAGAGAUGAUUGAAAUAAGUCACUUUUUCAAAACAUUUUCUGUCAUUUGUAAUUUGUUUAGUAGAAAUGCAAAAAGUAAAAAAUUAAAUCGUAAAUUAGAUCAAGUAUGUUAAAAAAAAAAUUAAAAACCAAACAAUGAUGAAUACAACCUUAUGUUUGACAUGUUCAUGCCAUCUAGACAGACACUUUCUGUGCAACAGACUGAUAUGCUGACAAUUCAACAUCAUUUUUCAGGAAAAUGACCACCAAUUCAGCUUGUUUCUUCCCAACUCUGGUGUAUUUGCUCUUCAUGCUGAUUCUGUAUGUUAAUCUGACAUUAGUUGAAUGCUUUACCCCUCCCGAUGUCGGAUUUAGAAACAAAAAACCAUUUUGUCUGGCAGGAGAGGGAAUCUGCUGUUCAAUAAAACUGUUGCCAAGACAAAUCAAUCCCAAACCCCCUCCGGUACACACUAACACCCCUACAGGGAGCAGAACCAUGGCAACCAGGCAGCAUCCCCCCAUCAUUGUCUUGGUAGCAGCAGUCUAUGACCUGAAGGGAUGGGGGUUGAAGGGGGUGGGAGAGAUAAUGUAAAGACACAAGGAGGGUUGAAGGACAGUUUUGUAAUGAUUUAUGAGUCUAACCUAAGAAAAAACCUUGCAGAUCCUUCACUGAAAUACUGUGGUGUCAUGUUCAUAAGAAAAACAGAUAAGCACGCUGAUGGUGAUUAAUCUCAGAGUACAUAUAUUUUUCUGACUUCCACCAUUUGUUGCCAGAGUGUAGUAAUAAAAAAUGUGAAAACUUAAAGUUUGUUUGUCCCAAUGCAAAAGCAUCAAAAGGCUGAGCAUUUCGCUUGUAGUUUUCUCAUUUCAGUCAACAUUUCUUAUUUGAUAGAGGUGGGUUGAGCACCCAGAAAAUGUACUCAAGUAAGAGUAGCUCUACUUAAUUUUUAUUCCAGUAAAAAUAAAAAGAAGCGGUCCAAGAAAGGCUGUUUGUGUUUUCCUUUUCCCUACCCCUUCUUUUGUUUGUUUCUUCACAGGUAGUAGGAAAGCUGGUGUCAGUCUCCCCUGAUUGAUCCUCUCCAUUCAUGGGCCAAUCAGUAUCCAGGGAGCCUGAAUAUAUAAACAGCCCACCUAGGUAACUGAGAGCUGCUCUAUCUGACUGGCUAGCUGACACAUGUCUUGUUGGUGCUCUUUGUGUAAAGGUUUGUGGUGGGAGUUAGAGGACUAGGUAAGUUUGGGGUAACCUGUACAUUUCAGUCACGUAGGUGUUUUUCUGUUAGAAACACUAGGUAAGUAGGUGGGUGCCACCCAUGUAAAGUUUUGGUGAAACUUUUGUUAGAUCAGGUAAGCAGGGUUUUUGUUUUCUAUUUCUUUUCUUUAGCAUAGACGGUAGUUAGGCCCUGUUUUAUUAUUUUCUUUGAUUUGGCACCACCUAACUGUCCCUUUCUCCCCCACAGUUUGUAUGAGCCUUCUGGGAUUUUUGUGUAAAUAAAUCCCUCGGUUUUUUUUUUUUUUUAUCACAUUCACUUGGACUCUGUCAAAUUUUUGUGAUUGUCGUGUUACUCUCCUUCUCCUCACAAGGGGGGGGCCAUAACACAAGUGGGGGCUUGUCGGGGAUCACCAUUUUCCCUGAGCUGUAGACAUCCACAAUAAUUUGAAAGAUCAUUGUGUCCGUUUAGAAAUGAGCUUCAGCUUAGAGGAGUUCGUACAGGUUCCUAGCCAUGAACAGCUGGAAAUGUGUCGUAAGGACGACUUAUGUCUGGCUGAACACUAUGACAUUCCAGUGAUUUUUUUUUUUUUUCAAAAGCUGAAAUUAAAAACAUUGUUGUUCAAAAACUGGUUGAGAUUAAAGUCCUGGUUGACUCGAGCAAAAUUGAUGUGUAUGUUUGUGGUGAUCCUUCUGUUGAUCUAGGACUCCCUCCUUUUAAAGAUGAAGGAGCUGCUGUAAUGGCAACUCCCCCAUAGGGGUUGGCAGAACUGCAGGCGCCCCCUGCGACUUUACCACAGUUCAAUUCUAUGUCACCAGAGCUCAGUGACUCCAGUGAUAAUGGCUGGCUCGCCUACAGUUGGAGGCACAGGAGAGGGAGUUGGUGGUGCCAGAUAAAAACAAGUUUGAUGUCAGGAAGAAUAUUGCUUUGGUGCCUAGCCACAGAUUGCACACCCUUGGUAUAGUCAAUGGAUGGAUGAUGAGCAGCUAAAUUUAGUCUGAUUUGUACACUACAAAUAAAUCUCCAGAAGCUUGUCUACAUUGGUUUACUGCAAACCUGUAUUUCCAAUCCUAAAUCCCAGUUCAUUUUAUUAAUUAGAACACUCAAAAAAACAGGCCAAGAGACCGUUUGGACCAGAGUCUGCUUUCUCAUGCACAUCAUUCAUUAAAAAACCUUCUUCACAUGCACAAAAGUUUGCUUUUUAUCCUUUAAAUCAGUUUUACAAUCUUUCAACUAUGAAAUGGAUCAGCU